GAUGAAGAACGUAGCGAAAUGCGAUACGUAAUGUGAAUUGCAGAAUUCAGUGAAUCAUCGAAUCUUUGAACGCAUAUUGCGCUCUCUGGUAUUCCGGAGAGCAUGCUUGUUUGAGUAUCAGUAAACACCUCAACUUCCAUAUCUUUUUUGAAAUGGGAGUUGGACUUGAGUGAUCCCAACGCUUUUCCUCACCGAAAAGUGGCGGGUUACUUGAAAUGCAGGUGCAGCUGGACUUUUCUCUGAGCUAUAAGCAUAUCUAUUUAGUCUGCCUAAAAAACAGAUUAUUACCUUUGCUGCAGCUAACAUAAAGGAGAUUAGUUCUUGUGCUGACUGAUGCAGGAUUCACAAAGACGGCUUCGGCAGACUUUGUAAACUCGAUCUCAAAUCAAGUAAGACUACCCGCUGAACUUAAGCAUAUCAAUAAGCGGAGGA
Molecule: unclassified non-coding RNA, 432 nt
Filed under: soil metagenome
Description: partial contains 5.8S ribosomal RNA, internal transcribed spacer 2, and large subunit ribosomal RNA
Rfam family: 5.8S ribosomal RNA (bases 1-120)
Source: RNAcentral